This 528-nucleotide long non-coding RNA is filed under the name Setaria italica (foxtail millet). Its description in RNAcentral is "long non-coding RNA (SITA_LNC003845)". The record is from RNAcentral. Lineage: Eukaryota; Viridiplantae; Streptophyta; Magnoliopsida; Poales; Poaceae.
AGCUUCUCAAAUAUAUCAUAAUGCACUCUCAAAGGCUACUAGGGAGAUAAAACUUGAUAGAUCAUAAGAAACAAUAGCAUCGCCAACAAGAUGAUAUCAAGUUACAACAGUGGAGGUGAAGCAAGUAUCAAGUUUUAGCAAUGUAUAAAAAGAUCACCACAUGAGCAUUCACCUAGUUAAGAAUCACCCAAGCAAGAAUAGACUAGUCCAUCAAGAGCUCAUACUAGGAAAAUCCAUUCUCAACAAGAGAUCAUUUCAAACACCCACAUAUGCAUCACAAGUCAUGUUUAAAACUUGUUGAAACCAAGUGUCUACUUCUUUUGGUAGACAUCUUGUAACAACUAAGCAAGCAAUAAUAUCACAUUAAGCACAAAAACUUGGUGAAUUUAUGAAGUUUUCAGCAUAUUUCUUUUCAGUAUUCACACAAAGCAAAAUACAUGAAGUGCCUUUGCGGCACAAAGAAGCCAUGCUUCCCCAAGGUGUGCAUCAUGGGCUAAACAUUUGCAAUGAUACCUAGAUCUUUGACCC